UGCAAGUAGAACGCUGAAGAGAGGAGCUUGCUCUUCUUGGAUGAGUUGCGAACGGGUGAGUAACGCGUAGGUAACCUGCCUGGUAGCGGGGGAUAACUAUUGGAAACGAUAGCUAAUACCGCAUAAUAGCAGUUAUUGCAUGAUAGCUGUUUGAAAGGUGCAAAUGCAUCACUACCAGAUGGACCUGCGUUGUAUUAGCUAGUUGGUGAGGUAACGGCUCACCAAGGCGACGAUACAUAGCCGACCUGAGAGGGUGAUCGGCCACACUGGGACUGAGACACGGCCCAGACUCCUACGGGAGGCAGCAGUAGGGAAUCUUCGGCAAUGGACGGAAGUCUGACCGAGCAACGCCGCGUGAGUGAAGAAGGUUUUCGGAUCGUAAAGCUCUGUUGUAAGAGAAGAACGAGUGUGAGAGUGGAAAGUUCACACUGUGACGGUAUCUUACCAGAAAGGGACGGCUAACUACGUGCCAGCAGCCGCGGUAAUACGUAGGUCCCGAGCGUUGUCCGGAUUUAUUGGGCGUAAAGCGAGCGCAGGCGGUUAGAUAAGUCUGAAGUUAAAGGCUGUGGCUUAACCAUAGUACGCUUUGGAAACUGUUUAACUUGAGUGCAAGAGGGGAGAGUGGAAUUCCAUGUGUAGCGGUGAAAUGCGUAGAUAUAUGGAGGAACACCGGUGGCGAAAGCGGCUCUCUGGCUUGUAACUGACGCUGAGGCUCGAAAGCGUGGGGAGCAAACAGGAUUAGAUACCCUGGUAGUCCACGCCGUAAACGAUGAGUGCUAGGUGUUAG
Molecule: ribosomal RNA, 787 nt
Filed under: uncultured Streptococcus sp.
Lineage: Bacteria; Bacillati; Bacillota; Bacilli; Lactobacillales; Streptococcaceae
Description: bacterial SSU rRNA
Rfam family: Bacterial small subunit ribosomal RNA
Source: RNAcentral